GGAUGUCGGCCUAUGGGUUGUAAACCUCUUUUUUCAGGGAGGAACAAAAUGACGUGUACCUGAAGAAUAAGCAUCGGCUAACUCCGUGCCAGCAGCCGCGGUAAGACUGAGGAUGCAAGUGUUAUCCGGAAUCACUGGGCGUAAAGCGUCUGUAGGUGGUUUUACAAGUCUGCUGUUAAAGCGUGCAGCUUAACUGCAUAUAGGCGGUGGAAACUGUAAGACUAGAGUGUAGUAGGGGUAGAGGGAAUUCCCAGUGUAGCGGUGAAAUGCGUAGAUAUUGGGAAGAACACCGGUGGCGAAAGCGCUCUACUGGGCUACAACUGACGCUGAUGGACGAAAGCUAGGGGAGCGAAAGGGAUUAGAUACCCCUGUA
This 373-nucleotide ribosomal RNA is filed under the name uncultured cyanobacterium. Its description in RNAcentral is "bacterial SSU rRNA". It matches the Rfam family "Bacterial small subunit ribosomal RNA", at positions 406 to 792 of the family's 1533-position model. Lineage: Bacteria; Bacillati; Cyanobacteriota. The record is from RNAcentral.